CGGCGUGCCUAACACAUGCAAGUCGUACGAGAAAGCCGGCUUCGGCUGGUGAGUAAAGUGGCGCACGGGUGAGUAACGCGUGGAUAAUCUGCCCUUAAGUGUGGAAUAACGUACCGAAAGGUGCGCUAAUACCGCAUAAUGCCUGGCAACACAAGUUGUCCGGCCAAAGAAGGCCUCUGUUUACAAGCUUUCGCUUCAGGAUGAGUCCGCGUACCAUUAGCUUGUUGGUGGGGUAAUGGCCUACCAAGGCUGCGAUGGUUAGCUGGUCUGAGAGGAUGAUCAGCCACACUGGAACUGAGACACGGUCCAGACUCCUACGGGAGGCAGCAGUGAGGAAUAUUGCGCAAUGGGGGCAACCCUGACGCAGCAACGCCGCGUGAGUGAGGAAGGUUUUCGGACUGUAAAGCUCUGUCGAGCGGGAAGAAGUGUACCAUGGCUAAUAUCCAUGAUAUUUGACGGUACCGCUAGAGGAAGCACCGGCUAACCUCCGUG
This 492-nucleotide ribosomal RNA is filed under the name uncultured bacterium. Its description in RNAcentral is "bacterial SSU rRNA". It matches the Rfam family "Bacterial small subunit ribosomal RNA", at positions 40 to 507 of the family's 1533-position model. The record is from RNAcentral.